AUGAUGGAUCUGAUAACUAUUGACAACGUCCAAUUUAUCAAUGUGUAUCAUGUUCAUAAAACGAAUUCAUGAUAUCUAAUGAACCAAAUCACAAGAUACACACAAAUAAUCGGAUUACUAACUUUUUCUUUUUUUUUUACCCAGAAGCCCCUCCCCUCUUGAGGUCAACAGCUCCUGGAUGUAAAUCGAGGCACUUUGUCGAAAGUGUGUCGCACUUUUACUUUGUCGAAACGUCGCCUGGCUUCGACAAAAAAAGAUCUAACGUGGCACCGUCCGAGACCGAGUCACAGCACAGCAGCGCCCCCAGCGGAAGCGGGAGGUUUCAUCGAGCUGACGUCGACUCCGUCUUCACGGACGGACCCUGGUGUUUGGAGCAGAUGACAGCAACUUUGACGGACGGACCCUGGUGUUUGGAGCAGAUGACAGCAACUUUGACGCAAAUCACUGAGGUCUAUGUCCAUCUUUCGCCGCUGUUGAACUACGUCACAUCUUUUCGUCAGCCAAUCGGUGUGUCCGCUCUCCAUCUGCUGACACCCAAUCACCGUGGCCCCGCUACGGAGUCACAGAAGCACUCGAAAUUCGAAAUUCGAAGUUGUCGAUUACCUCUUCAAAUCUGGACGACAAGACAUUUGAAUAUCAUCGAAAGGUAAGAUGUCAGCUAAGUUGUUUAAUUUUAUCGGGUUGCGAGUGACGUAGCUAGCUAGAACGUAUGUAUUACACACAAAAAACGACUAUAACGGGUUAAAAAACUUUUAAAUACGUUGUGAAUUAUGAAUUUUUAAAUUCACUAAUUUAUCAAUUCAUUCAUAACUGUAGUGGCCAUUACAGUCUUUAUCAGCGUCAGUUACAGUUUUGCAGUAUUAAGAUAAAAGUGACUGUCAUUACUUGCUGUCACUGUAAUUUGAUGGAUAAAAUCUUGGCGAAAAUGGCUCCUAUACUGUCUGUGCCCAUCCCCCAACCGGUCCCUCUUAUUUAAGAGGUUCAGUAAGAUAGCUUUCCUCGUACUGCUAUAAAUAAUUUUCUUUUUGUGGUUUUUAUCAAUUAAUGAUUGAUUAUAAAGUUUUAUAAACUUGUAUGUUUUGUCAUGGCAUAAUAACAUAUUUUACAUUGAGCACAAAUGUGUAAAAUUUACCUAAUUUACAAAUUUUUAUUUUUUUUUAUCGUCAGAUGGCUUCAAAAGACAAAAAGCACAGGUCUAUGGGUGAUGAGGAGUGGAUGUCCCACCUGCGACGGUUCGCUGCUGUUGGGGUCUGGCCCUCUGAUGCAGGAAACAGGCCGGCACCAUGUCAGAAAAAGUGGCAUGAUCUGUAUCUGAAGGUAUACUUGAAGAAAGUGAUAUGUGUACAAUAAUUAAACCUAGAGCCAUGCCAUAAUCCUGCAGCUGAGCUCACUGUCAAACAAUAUUACAGAUUGAGAAAUGCGCGAUGCAGCGGAGGGGACAAAUGUCUCUGUUUGGAGGGACACAGACAUGCAGCUGUGGCUUCCAUACAAAGAAGGUAUGUUUUUUUUUUAUGUUGCAACAGGAAUUGUGCGCAUUAUCUUUUUUUCCUAGCACAGUGGACGAAUGAGUCAACUUUGAUGUUAAGCUCCAUUUUUUCCGUG
Molecule: long non-coding RNA, 1602 nt
Filed under: Scophthalmus maximus (turbot)
Lineage: Eukaryota; Metazoa; Chordata; Actinopteri; Pleuronectiformes; Scophthalmidae
Description: lncRNA (ENSSMAG00000032616.1)
Source: RNAcentral